This 4651-nucleotide long non-coding RNA is filed under the name Nicotiana benthamiana. RNAcentral's name for it is "long non-coding RNA (NBEN_LNC021138)". The record is from RNAcentral. Lineage: Eukaryota; Viridiplantae; Streptophyta; Magnoliopsida; Solanales; Solanaceae.
GAGGUGAGAACACGAAGAGCUAUAUGGAGUUAAUAGGGACUAACUGCCUAAGCUUUUUAUCUGCUUUCUCCUUAGUGUUUUGAUUCAAUGAGAACCUGAAAGAUUACUAAGUUUUGAGAAUAGACCAUUUGCCACGUUGAAAGCCAAAAAGGAAGUAGGUGUGUGACAUUUAUAUGCAGAAAUAUCACGCCUCGGUCUCAUCAAACAUGUUUUAAGAAAACUAAUAGAAUGGAAUAUGGAUUUCCCCACUGGAUACAUUUUCAGUUCCCAAAAUAGCUACUUCUUGUGGUCCAGACCUCCAUUGGCUACACAAGUCGAUAAAGCAUAAAACUGCAGUAACUGCUGCCGCAGUUAUUUUGUUGCUUUUCAAAUUCUUCCAUGAAAAGACCAUUAUGGAAGUCACCAAGUGCUCGGUACUGAUAUCUAAGGUAUCACAUAAUAGCAUAUCAUCAACAAACAAUGCCAAGAAAGAAUUCAAUGUUGCUAAAGCAUAACAUAUUCAUCGAUUUCUGAUCAAUAAAGCUUCACUUAACUACCCAACAAAAUAGGCUAGUGGAUUGGCAUGUACCUGGUUCUCAAAAAAGGUGAAAUUCAGGUAAACAUCGAAACGUCGUGCAUAAGUAACAUUUGUCGGGACCCAUUUAACAGAAUAUGUCAUGUCCAAGACCCUUCCUUCCUCCAAUGGCUUUGGGCUCUCUUGAUACAGUUGGACAAAAAUGAUCUAAAGGACUUCGAUUAGAGUUAGAUCAUCAACACAAUAUUGCAGAUCAUUGACAUACCACAAGGCAUUAAGAACUAAAAACAAAGUGCCUACCCGGUUUCCGUUGUACUUAAUAAGAAGAUUCUUGUGUGUAUAAAUUACAUGCUUGAUAUCUUGAUUUCUUUGAGGAUGCACCUCGCCCACGAAACCUGAUACCAAGUGAGUGUUUAUUUAUGUUAUAACUGUCCAUGGUAAUGAGAAACAUUACAGAUAAACUAGCUAAGAACAUACCCCACAUUGGCAAAUCAUCUGAAGCCAGGAAGUCAUAACCCAAAACAAACAUUACAAAGAGAGAGAAGUUUAGAAUUAGUACACUUCAGGCAUGCAUAUAACUGUUGAAAAGAACUCACAGUAUCAUGGAGAAAUGUCAGUACCCAUAAAAAAUUCAAACCAAUACAUAUUGUCAAUUGCAUAUAUAAACUGUGCCACUUUUGAUGCAUCCAAUUUAAGUUCACAAAUUGAGCUUUUCUCCACAUCUCCUGUUGAACAAAAAAUGUUUAGUUGUAAAAGGAAACUGUUUCAAAGCAUAAAGCUCCAUCAUAAAAUUUGAAGAACAGACUUUUAAACUUUAUGUCAAUUCGGCUAUCAAUAAGAUCAUUUCCUCCAAGAACCUCGCCAAGGCUACUCCGCUUGUGAUCACCAUCAGCAGGAUGACAAAAUGGAAGGCUAUAAUAACUGUAGGUCUCUUGUGGAUUAUUAUAUGGUGCAGCCUUGUUUACCCAUAGAGUGACAGGAUCAUCUUUUUGAUACUGCAGCAAACAGCACAUCCAUUAGAUAAUUCAUAAGCCAGAUUCUUACAAGUGUUAAAUGCAUAAUUAAUCCUGAGUCAUUAGGUUCUACAAGUUACACCAAGAUUCAUCGUGGUGAGCGGUGGAAGUGGUGAAACAACAUGUAUGGUUCAAAUUUUGGUUGACUCCUUGAUUAGUUUCAUUUAUUAACACAAUAUAUUAUGCAAAUUAGCAUGCACGAUAGAACCUCAUCUCGUAUACAAUUGGUUAGCUUACUCAUAACUAUGACAAAGAAUUAGACGCUCGAGGUAGAUCCUUAUAAAGAAAACAAUGGUUAAGAGAAACUCCUGUCUAUCUCCUUACUUAUUUUUUUGUUGCAUUUAUAUACUUGAUAUGGAUUCUCUUAUUCUCCAACAUCACCCACCAACGGGCUUUCGUUAACACUAUAUAGUAUACUUCUUGUUAAGUUCAAUAAAUAAUAUCUAAAGAACACUCUUCCUUUCCCUAUAAAUCUUUGUAAAUCUUUGAGCAAAAAUAUAUUUUCUACUGUAAAUCUUCCAGACAUAAAUUCAAAUAUUCAAAUUGGUUCAGUGUCACUAUUAAAGUGUGUAAGUAUAACAUAAUAUAUCAAACAUUUCCAAAGUUUCAUCCUAUAAAUAGAUGUAAUACCACUAUAUUUCAACGACUUUUAAUAUCUUCUUUGUUAAAAUAAGGGGAAGAGAAAGAUAAAAAGUUUCAAACAGAAGUAUUUACCUUCUAUAGAUAUAUAAAAAGGUUACUAUAUAAUCAAUCAACUAUGUCACACUAUAAGACUAUUAGAUUGACUAUAUAUAUCCUCUAUAUCCAUUCUACUUCAUUUGGACCCAUUUUAGUCAAAUGAUCAAUAAAUUAUCUUUAUUGCAUUAGCUUUUCAAAAUUUAUCUUUUUUAAGUGAACCCAGAAAGGGAAAUCCAUAAAAUUUGAAAAGCUAAUUAAUGCAGUUUUACUUCAAAGAGUUUCAAAAUUGUACCUUGGCAAUAGUCAGGCAUAUGAGGAAACAAGAGCAGAUGAUGAAAAUGAGGAGGGAUCGGACAGUGGAGAGCAUUGCACAGAGCCGAACAGUGUCUUAAUUGACAAGAAUGAGAUCUCGUUAGUUAGUUAAGUAGGAAAGAAUUUGUGUUGUGUUUUCUUUAGUAUCUAAGUUCAGAUACUGAAGGAAGUGUCUGUUUGCUUUGCGAAAGUGAGAACUCUUUUCCAUUAUAGUGUCGCUGAGACCCCUAGUAUACUCUAUUCAUAGUAAAUGGAUCUGAAUUUUUCUGACGACGACUUUGACUUUUGAGUGCUCAACGACUUCAUAGGAAGCCGCUAGUCUGAAAAAAAGAAACAAAUUUGUGACAUUUUUUUUCCAAUAAUCUUUUUAUUUUUUUGGGUCCAACAGUUAUUGUGAGUGGGUUUUCACCCUUUUCAUGCGAGUUUGAGCUUGGGAGAACAAUUUGAAGAGAGAAUUUAAGAGAAUUUUGUAAAGAUAAGAUUUUUGACCCUAAACUUGUUUCUAUAAUGGGUUUUAACUGAUUAAGCUUGAAAUCGAUGGAAAUUAGUAGUAAAAUUGAGAGUUUAGGGCUUGAAAAUUGGAGACUUUAAUCUAGGAUUUGAGGGGUCAUUUGUGGUCGGAUUUUGGUAUUCUUAGUAUGUAUGAACUCGUGAGAGGAUAAAGAGUUUAUUGAUGUAAUUUUUUAUCGGAUUUCGAGACGUGGUCCCGAGGGUCUGUAUAGGCUAAUUUCAGGAUUUAUGUUGUAAUUUUAUUAUUUUUGCAUGGGCUUAUUUCCUUAGCAUAUUUUGACGUCAUAAUUCUGAUUUUGGAUAGAUUCGACGCGAGUUGAGACCGAGUCGAAAGGCAAGGGCGCCACGAAGUAGUAUUUCAUCCGGGUUGAGGUAAGUAACCAUUGUAAAUCUGGACCUGAGGGUAUGAAACCCCGAUAUUUUAUAUUGUUUUGAUAAAUGAGGUGAUGCACAUGCUAGGUGACAAGCGUGUAGGCGUGCACUCGUAGGGAUUGUGACUUGGUCCGUCCCGUAGCAACUAUUAAUCCGCGUAUUUGAUUUGAAAUCUUACGAUAUUCCGUAUUUUAGAGAUUUAUACUAUAUCUUGGGUUGUACACCGUGUUUAGGGCUUUGCGCCGACAUGUUUAGACCCUUAGGAGUAUUUUUACUACUUUCCUCACUUUGUUUGAUUCGAAAGCAUAUCCUAAGUCAUGUUUUACCUGUUAUUUGUUUAAAACUGGUUUCAUCACUUUAUUUCUUAAUGUAUGAAAAACUGUUUGGGUUGAGUUCCACGAUUUUUACUGACAUGCCCGAGUGGUCGUGAGGUUAAUGAUCGAGAGAGGUUUAGGACUUAAUGGUGAGGAUUAUAUAUCUAUUAUGGAUCGGGCUGCACGCUGCAGCGAUAUACAUGUUGAUCGGGUUGCAUGCUGUAGUGAUAUAUGUAUAUAUAUAAUCAUUUUCACGAGCAUAUUUUGCAUAAUCAUUGCGAAGAGUGCGCAUCAAAAUCAUAGACACCAACCCAGUGAGGAAAACAACCAUCAUGAUGGAAUUCAAAACAGAGAACCAAUGAAUCUGCAAAAGGAACAAGACGUUUUAGGAGGUGAGAACACGAAGAGCUAUAUGGAGUUAAUAGGGACUAACUGCCUAAGCUUUUUAUCUGCUUUCUCCUUAGUGUUUUGAUUCAAUGAGAACCUGAAAGAUUACUAAGUUUUGAGAAUAGACCAUUUGCCACGUUGAAAGCCAAAAAGGAAGUAGGUGUGUGACAUUUAUAUGCAGAAAUAUCACGCCUCGGUCUCAUCAAACAUGUUUUAAGAAAACUAAUAGAAUGGAAUAUGGAUUUCCCCACUGGAUACAUUUUCAGUUCCCAAAAUAGCUACUUCUUGUGGUCCAGACCUCCAUUGGCUACACAAGUCGAUAAAGCAUAAAACUGCAGUAACUGCUGCCGCAGUUAUUUUGUUGCUUUUCAAAUUCUUCCAUGAAAAGACCAUUAUGGAAGUCACCAAGUGCUCGGUACUGAUAUCUAAGGUAUCACAUAAUAGCAUAUCAUCAACAAACAAUGCCAAGAAAGAAUUCAAUGUUGCUAAAGCAUAACAUAUUCAUCGAUUUCUGAUCAAUAAAGCUUCACUUAACUACCCAACAAAAUAGG